UACGGAGGGUGCAAGCGUUAUUCGGAAUUACUGGGCGUAAAGCGCGUGUAGGCGGUCCUGCAAGUCUGAUGUGAAAGCCCCGGGCUUAACCCGGGAAGUGCAUUGGAAACUGUGGGACUUGAGUACUGGAGAGGAUGGGGGAAUUCCCGGUGUAGAGGUGAAAUUCGUAGAGAUCGGGAGGAAUAUCAGUGGCGAAGGCGCCCAUCUGGACGGUAACUGACGCUGAGACGCGAAAGCGUGGGGAGCAAACAGG
Molecule: ribosomal RNA, 253 nt
Filed under: uncultured Desulforhabdus sp.
Lineage: Bacteria; Pseudomonadati; Thermodesulfobacteriota; Syntrophobacteria; Syntrophobacterales; Syntrophobacteraceae
Description: partial 16S ribosomal RNA
Rfam family: Bacterial small subunit ribosomal RNA
Source: RNAcentral